This 523-nucleotide ribosomal RNA is filed under the name Mantidactylus femoralis. RNAcentral's name for it is "partial 16S ribosomal RNA". It matches the Rfam family "Bacterial large subunit ribosomal RNA", at positions 1854 to 2597 of the family's 2925-position model. The record is from RNAcentral. Lineage: Eukaryota; Metazoa; Chordata; Amphibia; Anura; Mantellidae.
UAGCCUGCCCAGUGAAAUUUUAACGGCCACGGUACCCUAACCGUGCGAAGGUAGCAUAAUCACUUGUUCUUUAAAUGGGGACUCGUAUCAACGGCAUCACGAGGGUUCUACUGUCUCCUUUCUCUAAUCAGUGAAACUAAUCUCCCCGUGAAGAAGCGAGGAUAAUACUAUAAGACGAGAAGACCCCAUGGAGCUUUAAACCCAAUUAUAUUCCUAACCCCCACAACCAUUUAAUCUCUUAGGCCCAUAUACUUGGUUUUAGGUUGGGGCGACCACGGAGUAAAACCAAACCUCCAUGAUGUACGGAACAACCUCCUUAUCCAAGAGCCACAGCUCUAAGAAUUAGCACACUAUCAAAAAAUGACCCAUUAUUGAUCAACGAACCAAGUUACCCUGGGGAUAACAGCGCAAUCCAUUUUAAGAGCCCCUAUCGACAAAUGGGUUUACGACCUGGAUGUUGGAUCAGGAUAUCCCAGUGGUGCAGCAACUACUAAAGGUUCGUUUGUUCAACGAUUAAAAUCCU